Molecule: ribosomal RNA, 254 nt
Filed under: uncultured microorganism
Description: partial 16S ribosomal RNA
Rfam family: Bacterial small subunit ribosomal RNA
Source: RNAcentral
UACGUAGGGUGCGAGCGUUAAUCGGAUUUACUGGGCGUAAAGCGUGCGCAGGCGGCCCGUUAAGACAGGUGUGAAAUCCCUGGGCUCAACCUAGGAAUUGCGCUUGUGACUGGCGGGCUCGAGUACGGUAGAGGGGGGGUGGAAUUCCUGGUGUAGCAGUGAAAUGCGUAGAGAUCAGGAGGAACACCGAUGGCGAAGGCAGCCCCCUGGGCCUGUACUGACGCUCAUGCACGAAAGCGUGGGGAGCAAACAGG